Molecule: ribosomal RNA, 332 nt
Filed under: uncultured Pseudomonadota bacterium
Lineage: Bacteria; Pseudomonadati; Pseudomonadota
Description: bacterial SSU rRNA
Rfam family: Bacterial small subunit ribosomal RNA
Source: RNAcentral
CGUGUAGGCGGCUUGUUAAGUCGGUUGUGAAAACCCAUGGCUCAACCAUGGAAGGGCGUCCGAAACUGGCAAGCUAGAGUCCCGACGAGGAUGGCGGAAUUCCCAGUGUAGAGGUGAAAUUCGUAGAUAUUGGGAGGAACACCGGUGGCGAAGGCGGCCAUCUGGGAGGGCACUGACGCUGAGACGCGAAAGCGUGGGGAGCAAACAGGAUUAGAUACCCUGGUAGUCCACGCCGUAAACGAUGAGCACUAGAUGUUGCGGGUAUUGACCCCUGCAGUGUCGACGCUAACGCAUUAAGUGCUCCGCCUGGGGAGUACGGCCGCAAGGCUAAA